This 802-nucleotide ribosomal RNA is filed under the name Bacillus cereus. Its description in RNAcentral is "partial 23S ribosomal RNA". It matches the Rfam family "Bacterial large subunit ribosomal RNA", at positions 205 to 1047 of the family's 2925-position model. The record is from RNAcentral. Lineage: Bacteria; Bacillati; Bacillota; Bacilli; Caryophanales; Bacillaceae.
AGUACCCCGAGGAAAAGAAAUCAACCGAGAUUCCCCCAGUAGCGGCGAGCGAACGGGGAGGAGCCCAGAACCUGAAUCGGCUUGUGUGUUAGUGGAAGCGUCUGGAAAGUCGCGCAGCAAAGGGUGAUAGCCCCGUACACUAAAAUGCACAGGUCGUGAGUUCGAUGAGUAGGGCGGGACACGUGACAUCCUGUCUGAAUAUGGGGGGACCAUCCUCCAAGGCUAAAUACUCCUGACUGACCGAUAGUGAACCAGUACCGUGAGGGAAAGGCGAAAAGAACCCCGGCGAGGGGAGUGAAAUAGAACCUGAAACCGUGUACGUACAAGCAGUGGGAGCACCUUCGUGGUGUGACUGCGUACCUUUUGUAUAAUGGGUCAGCGACUUAUAUUUUGUAGCAAGGUUAACCGUAUAGGGGAGCCGUAGGGAAACCGAGUCUUAACUGGGCGAUUAGUUGCAAGGUAUAGACCCGAAACCCGGUGAUCUAGCCAUGGGCAGGUUGAAGGUUGGGUAACACUAACUGGAGGACCGAACCGACUAAUGUUGAAAAAUUAGCGGAUGACUUGUGGCUGGGGGUGAAAGGCCAAUCAAACCGGGAGAUAGCUGGUUCUCCCCGAAAGCUAUUUAGGUAGCGCCUCGUGAACUCAUCUUCGGGGGUAGAGCACUGUUUCGGCUAGGGGGCCAUCCCGGCUUACCAAACCGAUGCAAACUCCGAAUACCGAAGAAUGUUAUCACGGGAGACACACGGCGGGUGCUAACGUCCGUCGUGAAGAGGGAAACAACCCAGACCGCCAGCUAAGGUCC